GUGGGGAAUCUUGCGCAAUGGGCGAAAGCCUGACGCAGCCAUGCCGCGUGAAUGAUGAAGGUCUUAGGAUUGUAAAAUUCUUUCACCGGGGACGAUAAUGACGGUACCCGGAGAAGAAGCCCCGGCUAACUUCGUGCCAGCAGCCGCGGUAAUACGAAGGGGGCUAGCGUUGCUCGGAAUUACUGGGCGUAAAGGGCGCGUAGGCGGACAGUUUAGUCAGAGGUGAAAGCCCAGGGCUCAACCUUGGAAUUGCCGUUGAUACUGGCUGUCUUGAGUACGGGAGAGGUGAGUGGAACUCCGAGUGUAGAGGUGAAAUUCGUAGAUAUUCGGAAGAACACCAGUGGCGAAGGCGACUCACUGGCCCGUUACUGACGCUGAGGCGCGAAAGCGUGGGGAGCAAACAGGAUUAGAUACCCUUGUAGUCC
RNAcentral lists this ribosomal RNA (425 nucleotides) under uncultured bacterium. RNAcentral describes it as "partial 16S ribosomal RNA". It matches the Rfam family "Bacterial small subunit ribosomal RNA", at positions 354 to 796 of the family's 1533-position model. The record is from RNAcentral.